CAGCCGUAAACUAUGCUCGCUAGGUGUCAGGCAUGGCGCGACCGUGUCUGGUGCCGCAGGGAAGCCGUGAAGCGAGCCACCUGGGAAGUACGGCCGCAAGGCUGAAACGUAAAGGAAUUGGCGGGGGAGCACAACAACGGGUGGAGCCUGCGGUUUAAUUGGACUCAACGCCGGACAACUCACCGGGGACGACAGCAAUAUGUAGGCCAGGCUGAAGACCUUGCCUGAAUCGCUGAGAGGAGGUGCAUGGCGUAGACGUCU
RNAcentral lists this ribosomal RNA (261 nucleotides) under uncultured archaeon. RNAcentral describes it as "partial 16S ribosomal RNA". It matches the Rfam family "Archaeal small subunit ribosomal RNA", at positions 748 to 1009 of the family's 1478-position model. The record is from RNAcentral.